CCUACGGGUGGCAGCAGUGAGGAAUAUUGGUCAAUGGGCGAGAGCCUGAACCAGCCAAGUCGCGUGAGGGAGUACUGCCCUAUGGGUUGUAAACCUCUUUUGUCGGGGAGCAAAAGCCGGACGUUUCCGGCUGUGAGAGUACCCGAAUAAAAAGCAUCGGCUAAAUCCGUUCCAGCAGCCGCGGUAAUACGGAGGAUGCGAGCGUUAUCCGGGUUUAUUGGGUUUAAAGGGUGCGCAGGCGGAUUUUUAAGUCAGCGGUAAAAUCGUGGGGCUCAACCCCAUCCAGCCGUUGAAACUGGGGAUCUAGAGUGUGCGAGAGGUAUGCGGAAUGCGUGGUGUAGCGGUGAAAUGCAUAGAUAUCACGCAGAACCCCGAUUGCGAAGGCAGCAUACCGGUGCACAACUGACGCUCAGGCACGAAAGCGUGGGUAUCGAACAGGAUUAGAUACCCUUGUAGUC
RNAcentral lists this ribosomal RNA (458 nucleotides) under uncultured bacterium. RNAcentral describes it as "partial 16S ribosomal RNA". It matches the Rfam family "Bacterial small subunit ribosomal RNA", at positions 338 to 795 of the family's 1533-position model. The record is from RNAcentral.